This 72-nucleotide transfer RNA is filed under the name Rhodotorula toruloides. Its description in RNAcentral is "tRNA-Arg (TCT) cove score=63.03". It matches the Rfam family "tRNA". From Rfam's summary of the family: Transfer RNA (tRNA) molecules are approximately 80 nucleotides in length. Their secondary structure includes four short double-helical elements and three loops (D, anti-codon, and T loops). Lineage: Eukaryota; Fungi; Basidiomycota; Microbotryomycetes; Sporidiobolales; Sporidiobolaceae. The record is from RNAcentral. RNAcentral also lists the same sequence under 2 other names.
GCCCUGCUGUCGCAAUGGUAGCGAGCCAGACUUCUAAUCUGGAGGCUGCGGGUUCGAGUCCCGCGUAGGGCU